Molecule: non-coding RNA, 254 nt
Organism: Paramuricea clavata
Lineage: Eukaryota; Metazoa; Cnidaria; Anthozoa; Malacalcyonacea; Plexauridae
Source: the annotation of a GenBank genome assembly
AUAAGUAGUUUUCAUUGCCAGCAAGCAAAGUGUCUAUUGGCUGAUUGAAAUCGUAGUAUGUGCACCCAGCUUUAGUGAAACCCACAUGCAACUAUACCAUAAAUAUUGAUGGGCUUACAUAUGGGAGGGCCUAAUUACGGGAGGGGGGCUUAUGUACAGACAACAUUUAAUGUUAGUAAUAAUACUUAUUGUACCUGUAAACUAUACCGUGAACGAAAAGAAAUACAAACAUACACUGUAUAAUUAUAAUCCAC